UCAAGGGCCAAAUGGUAAUUUUAGUACUUAAAUUGAGAGAAUAGGGAUGGGGAGGUACUAGAAGUGUUAUUAUGGAAUGAAGUUUAUGGGAUCAGGGUAUAUAAACCCGUCACCCAUUAAACCCUAACCCUAAUUGGGUUUUGCAGCCGCCAACUUCAAUUCAACUCCUUCCAGCCGCCACCACCUCUUAUUCCUCCGAUCUCCGAUGCUGCAACACCCCCACUGCCAUCGAGUCACAACCGCCGUGAACAACCUGUUGUUGGCGUCGAGGACCACCCGGAAAACCCACGUACGGAGUUGCUAUCGCCGCUCAGAUCGUCAAUGAGCUCACGAAUGGGCAUCUCUCCGCUGCUGAUGUUGUUUCGCCUCGGAGAUGCCACCGAUAACACCGAUGGUAGGCGUUGUUGUCACUCGCGAUUAGCCACUGCCACUGCCACUGCUGGACGUCGGGGACGAUCGGGAGAGAUGAUUGGAGCCUCCACCUGCCGCCGCAGAUGCUGCUGAUGAAGACGAGGACCACCGUCGGGUCCGUUCCUCUGCCGUUGUAGCUAUCGUUCGAAGCGUGCGCCGACGUGGGAGAGUUAUGCCGCCAAGGGCCACCGCCGCUGCCCGCUUUUCAUGUUCCUGCUGCCGUCGCUGCCCACCUCAGUUCGGAAAUCUGUCAAUCAGCAGCUGGAGUGUACCUGCGGGACUUCAGCAGUGUCAGGUAUUCUGAUGAUCGCAAGAAGGCGAAGGCGUGAUCGUGCACCUUCUUACAUUUUCAUGAUUGAUUCUAGGGAUACUCUGAUGUUUAAACUAUUUAGAAAGUAAAUUGUAAUAACUUAAUGGUUUUAAAUGUUUUAAAAAGUUUUAAAUUGGCUUGAAUUUUACGAGUGUUACAGUU
This is a non-coding RNA of Lactuca sativa (garden lettuce), 883 nucleotides long. The record is from RefSeq and is a predicted model, not a curated record. Lineage: Eukaryota; Viridiplantae; Streptophyta; Magnoliopsida; Asterales; Asteraceae.